RNAcentral lists this transfer RNA (72 nucleotides) under Lachnospiraceae bacterium. Its description in RNAcentral is "tRNA-Met". It matches the Rfam family "tRNA". From Rfam's summary of the family: Transfer RNA (tRNA) molecules are approximately 80 nucleotides in length. Their secondary structure includes four short double-helical elements and three loops (D, anti-codon, and T loops). Lineage: Bacteria; Bacillati; Bacillota; Clostridia; Lachnospirales; Lachnospiraceae. The record is from RNAcentral.
UCCAGGGUAGUAUAGCGGCGAGUACGGCCGGUUCAUACCCGGCAAACGCAGGUUCAAAUCCUGUCCUUGGGA